CGCCGAUGACAGAUUCGCCCGCCUCCUCCAAUCUUGCUUCUCCCUCUUGCCUCCAGUGCUGUUUGACAGCACACUACAAUGAGCGAGAAAGGCGUCAGGCGCGAAACGAACCCAGCCACACAGGAAACCCUCCCCACAACACCACACAAAUGCAGCAUUCAACCCGUUUUCGAUCUUGCGCCCGCCUCCUUGGCUCUCAACCGCUCCCGUUCUUCCCUCCAGAUCUUUUCUGGACCUCGACUAGCUCCCUCGGAAGCAUGUCGGUCAAAGAUGCAGAGGGCGGAACCGAGCGUUGACGCUGGGAGGUAGCCUUGAAAAGGGCUUUAAAGCGGUACAAGACGAUCCUAACCCUAAGUUGAUCCAUGCAGAGUCUUGCAAGGCCUUUCUCUCGGGUGCUUUGCCGUCUCGCCAAGAUGCGGGAAAGAAGGCAAAGCGCCGACGUCGAGAGGAAGCGUCUUUGGCGAGUGUAGGAGGUCCCUCUCGAGGGAGGAGGUGUUCGGGGAAUCCCACACGAUUGGGAACCCGCCGGCUCUUGUUCCACACUGUUCGCCCUCUGCCAACGUCGAUUGCAUCUGGUGCAAGCACUCCUCGUUUGCAGGUUUGCGUUCUUGACCCAGUGUCGGCGAAACACUCUCUGUUUCCUUAUGCAACGCAUAAGGGACGCGUCGUUGGAGUGCGCACCGGUUUUGUUGUUCCGUCCUUCUUGUCGCCGCAAGUACCAACGAAGGACGAAUGCCCGUUUGACCGUUGUGCGCGCGGGUGUUUCCGGUUGGGGUCUGUUUCCGCUGCCGAGCCUUUCUCUGCAUAGGGAGAAGCGGGGUCUCGAAGGAAGUGGGCCGUUUCUCGAGGCGACGUCAAGGACCUGGCUCGGGUACGUGCGGGGCUUACUCUUCCCCAUCCCUUCCUUUCCAUUGUGUCGACAGCAUCGAAGCGUCGAUCCAGCUUCCCCGCGGAGCAGCACACGAACGCGCCCAACCAGCACCGUCCCAGGGGACAGCAAACACAGCUCUACGGAGGGUAAAGGAGCACUCGACAUCCAGUGCCCCUUCUGCAUCUCGGCCCUCUCGGACGCUCUUGCUCCAAACGCGCGCGCCGACAUACGCUGUCGCUCGAUCCACCGGCCUCUGCGCUCCUGCAGUGCAAGACGGGUCGGUAGAGGUCGCGAGGUGCAUCGUCAGCGCGCGUGGGGUGAAAGUUUCGAAGAGGAACGGGAAGGCAAGGGCGGGCGGGGUGUAGUGACGUGCUCCGAGUGUUGUAGAGCUUCGCUUGCUCGCUAUGUGUCCCAGUGGAGGUGUAAGGUCGGGCGCGUGCAUGCUGCUCAGCGGAAAGCUACACAUCACGAGAGCGGGAGGGAUGGCGGAAGAGGUGUUGUAAUUUUUCUCACCUUUGGGUGU
Molecule: non-coding RNA, 1394 nt
Filed under: Sporisorium reilianum
Lineage: Eukaryota; Fungi; Basidiomycota; Ustilaginomycetes; Ustilaginales; Ustilaginaceae
Source: RNAcentral